RNAcentral lists this ribosomal RNA (250 nucleotides) under uncultured bacterium. Its description in RNAcentral is "partial 16S ribosomal RNA". It matches the Rfam family "Bacterial small subunit ribosomal RNA", at positions 524 to 772 of the family's 1533-position model. The record is from RNAcentral.
GACGUAGGGUCCAAGCGUUAUCCGGAUUUACUGGGCGUAAAGCGCGCGUAGGCGGUCUGUUAAGUGCACAAGUGAAAGCUCCGGGCUCAACUCGGAAAUUGCUUUGCAUACUGGCAGGCUGGAGGGACGCAGAGGUCUGUGGAAUUCCUGGUGUAACGGUGAAAUGUGUUGAUAUCAGGAGGAACACCCAUGGCGAAGGCAGCAGACUGGGCGUUUCCUGACGCUGAGGCGCGAAAGCGUGGGUAGCAAA